RNAcentral lists this ribosomal RNA (536 nucleotides) under uncultured bacterium. RNAcentral describes it as "partial 16S ribosomal RNA". It matches the Rfam family "Bacterial small subunit ribosomal RNA", at positions 355 to 881 of the family's 1533-position model. The record is from RNAcentral.
UGGGGAAUUUUGGACAAUGGGCGAAAGCCUGAUCCAGCAAUGCCGCGUGUGUGAAGAAGGCCUUCGGGUUGUAAAGCACUUUUGUCCGGAAAGAAAUCCUUGGCUCUAAUACAGUCGGGGGAUGACGGUACCGGAAGAAUAAGCACCGGCUAACUACGUGCCAGCAGCCGCGGUAAUACGUAGGGUGCAAGCGUUAAUCGGAAUUACUGGGCGUAAAGCGUGCGCAGGCGGUUUGCUAAGACCGAUGUGAAAUCCCCGGGCUCAACCUGGGAACUGCAUUGGUGACUGGCAGGCUAGAGUAUGGCAGAGGGGGGUAGAAUUCCACGUGUAGCAGUGAAAUGCGUAGAGAUGUGGAGGAAUACCGAUGGCGAAGGCAGCCCCCUGGGCCAAUACUGACGCUCAUGCACGAAAAGCGUGGGGAGCAAAACAGGAUUAGAUACCCUGGUAGUCCACGCCCUAAAACGAUGUCAACUAGUUGUUGGGGAUUCAUUUCCUUAGUAACGUAGCUAACGCGUGAAGUUGACCGCCCGGGGAGU